This is a long non-coding RNA of Brachypodium distachyon (stiff brome), 526 nucleotides long. RefSeq lists it as uncharacterized. Lineage: Eukaryota; Viridiplantae; Streptophyta; Magnoliopsida; Poales; Poaceae. The transcript has 2 exons. The record is from RefSeq and is a predicted model, not a curated record.
AGCGUGUGCCCAGUACCUGUCGACCCUCAAAUCCAAAAGGCGAAUACACAAACAAGAGCGGCUUCUCUGUGUUAAUUUGUUUAACACCCAUGGAGGGAAGAACUACUCUUUGCUUCCUCCUGGUGCUUGCCUUGCUAGGAAAUUGUGUUCAUGCUGAAACCUGCAGUGAGAAGAGUAAUCUGGACACUGCAUGCAUACCUCAAUACGUGAUGAAUUUCUGCAAGAGGGAAUACCCAGGAAGAAAUGUGAAGAACGCCUACUGUAAAGGCUUCUUCCCGUUUGUCUUUCGCGUCUGUCAAAUCUGUGGCUAGAGUUUUACGGCCCCCGUGACCAGGAGCCAAACUAAUGUAUAACCUAUUUGUGGUACGGUUUGAAUGAAGAUAAAAUCAGUUUGUGAUCCAAGACAUGUGAAAUUGAAUAAAAUUAAAAUCAGUUUGACCAGGAGUCAAACUCAUGUGUUGGUGUUGUGUCAAUGAAUUGGUGAUUGAAUGAUUGCAUUAACGAGUUGGAGAUUGUAUGAUUGUAA